Molecule: ribosomal RNA, 274 nt
Filed under: uncultured bacterium
Lineage: Bacteria
Description: partial 16S ribosomal RNA
Rfam family: Bacterial small subunit ribosomal RNA
Source: RNAcentral
AUACGGAGGGGGUUAGCGUUGUUCGGAAUUACUGGGCGUAAAGCGCACGUAGGCGGAUUGGAAAGUUGGGGGUGAAAUCCCAGGGCUCAACCCUGGAACUGCCUCCAAAACUAACAGUCUAGAGUUCGAGAGAGGUGAGUGGAAUUCCAAGUGUAGAGGUGAAAUUCGUAGAUAUUUGGAGGAACACCAGUGGCGAAGGCGGCUCACUGGCUCGAUACUGACGCUGAGGUGCGAAAGCGUAGGGAGCAAACAGGAUUAGAUACCCUAGUAGUCC